ACGCUCGACACCUACGGGGGGCAGCAGUGGGGAAUAUUGCACAAUGGGGGAAACCCUGAUGCAGCGACGCCGCGUGAAGGAAGAAGUAUCUCGGUAUGUAAACUUCUAUCAGCAGGGAAGAAAAUGACGGUAUCUGACUAAGAAGCCCCGGCUAACUACGUGCUAGCAGCCGCGGUAAUCUGAGCGGGCUGGCAAGGC
RNAcentral lists this ribosomal RNA (198 nucleotides) under uncultured bacterium. RNAcentral's name for it is "partial 16S ribosomal RNA". It matches the Rfam family "Bacterial small subunit ribosomal RNA", at positions 328 to 539 of the family's 1533-position model. The record is from RNAcentral.